This 452-nucleotide ribosomal RNA is filed under the name uncultured bacterium. RNAcentral's name for it is "partial 16S ribosomal RNA". It matches the Rfam family "Bacterial small subunit ribosomal RNA", at positions 29 to 523 of the family's 1533-position model. The record is from RNAcentral.
AACGAACGCUGGCGGCAUGCCUAACACUUGCAAGUCGAACGAGAUCUUCGGGUCUAGUGGCGCACGGGUGCGUAACGCGUGGGAAUCUGCCCUUUGGUUCGGAAUAACAGUUGGAAACGACCGCUAAUACCGGAUGAUGACGAAAGUCCAAAGAUUUAUCGCCAGAGGAUGAGCCCGCGUAGGAUUAGCUAGUUGGUGUGGUAAAGGCUCACCAAGGCGACGAUCCUUAGCUGGUCUGAGAGGAUGAUCAGCCUCACUGGGACUGAGACACGGCCCAGACUCCUACGGGAGGCAGCAGUGGGGAAUAUUGGACAAUGGGCGAAAGCCUGAUCCAGCAAUGCCGCGUGAGUGAUGAAGGCCUUAGGGUUGUAAAACUCUGUCCUAUGGGAAGAAACAAAUGACGGUACCAUGGGAGGAAGCCCCGGCUAACUACGUGCCAGCCGCCGCGGUAA